This 358-nucleotide long non-coding RNA is filed under the name Ananas comosus (pineapple). RNAcentral describes it as "long non-coding RNA (ACOM_LNC007867)". The record is from RNAcentral. Lineage: Eukaryota; Viridiplantae; Streptophyta; Magnoliopsida; Poales; Bromeliaceae.
AUAGUAAAAAAUAGAUGCAAAAGAUAAAAAAAUAUAAAAAGAAUAAAUAAUUAAAAUGAUAGAAAAAAUAUUUUUUUCUCAAAAAAAAAGUGAAGAACUAAAGAAAAAAAUUAAUGAAAUUGUAUUGCACUGUUUCAUAAGAACGUUAUAUUGUUUUAUACAAAAAUUAUACUUUUUGAGACAAAAAUUAUACUAUUUCAUACGAAAGUUGUAUUUUUUGAAUGAAAGUUGAAUUUUUUGGAUAAAAGUUACAUUAUUUUUUCUCCUCUUUUUUUCCUCCUCCACCAAAGCAGGUCUGCCUUCCCCAUCAUUGACGAAGUUACACUAUUUCUCCUCUUCCUCCUUCCCUUCUACCUCA